Molecule: long non-coding RNA, 881 nt
Organism: Trifolium pratense (red clover)
Lineage: Eukaryota; Viridiplantae; Streptophyta; Magnoliopsida; Fabales; Fabaceae
Exons: 2
Source: RefSeq, a predicted model, not a curated record
GUUGGAUGGUGAAAAUGAUAAACAUUGCAGCCAUAUUAGCCACACAAGAUUUGAAAUUUUGUGUCUUAGCUUUACCAUUAGCAACCAAUAGGACAGUGCCAUGUGGAUGUUGCCCCACAAAUCUUAUCAGCUAUCUCCUCCGGAGAAGUGUGAAAAUGUGUGAUGGUGGUCACAUUGAAAUUUUUUUUGGAGUGAAGAUACAUUGUGCUCUAGAGAAAUUGAAAUAACUUUAAAUAUCUGGAAAAAAAAACUUUUGAUUCUGAAAAAAAUAAGUCGAGAAAAUUUAGUUUAUAUUUGAACAUUGUCACAUCUCCAAUUUGAGUAAAGUAAAAAUUAAGUUGUUUCGGUUUAUUUUUCUCUAAAACUAAAGACAGAUUUUAAAUUUUUCAUAGAAGAAAUUGAGUGUUGGAUAUUUAUUUUUCUCUUGUACCACACUGUAGUAUGUUGGUCUCAAUGGAAUUUUGUGACUAUUACUUCACAAACAUUUAUCACAUUACAUGUGUAACAUUUGUUCCUGUCCAAGCUUUUGGAUCCUCAGGGAGAAAAAAAAAAUAAGAAAAGGAAAGAAAUCAAUGGAAUGAACCCUCUCAACUGGGAUAAAAAUGUAGCAGUAGGAGCUAUAAGGAAAAUUUUGAACAGUUGAGAUUUUGAAAGGAUAACUGGCCUGUAAAAAACUGAAAGAUGUUUGUAACUUCAUCCUUCUCUUGUAUUACACAAUGCUCUCAUGUUGAUGGCAUGUUUGCAACUAUGAAAUACUACUCAUUAGGUCCUGAGAUAUUUGAUCUGUUACUCUUCAGCAUUGGUUUUGCUUAUACAACAAUGUAUGAUAUUCUGAAGUUUGUACUGCUUGAAAUAAAAAAAGCAGUUUUUUGUUUGGGUAA